Molecule: transfer RNA, 88 nt
Filed under: Gammaproteobacteria bacterium
Lineage: Bacteria; Pseudomonadati; Pseudomonadota; Gammaproteobacteria
Also listed under: 3 other names
Description: tRNA-Leu
Rfam family: tRNA
About the family: Transfer RNA (tRNA) molecules are approximately 80 nucleotides in length. Their secondary structure includes four short double-helical elements and three loops (D, anti-codon, and T loops).
Source: RNAcentral
GCCUGGGUGGCGGAAUUGGUAGACGCAGGGGAUUCAAAAUCCCCCGGGGUAGCCCCUCGUAAGAGUUCGAGUCUCUUCCUAGGCACCA